RNAcentral lists this long non-coding RNA (4006 nucleotides) under Salmo salar (Atlantic salmon). RNAcentral describes it as "lncRNA (ENSSSAG00000106137.1)". Lineage: Eukaryota; Metazoa; Chordata; Actinopteri; Salmoniformes; Salmonidae. The record is from RNAcentral.
CUCUCUCCAGUCUCUCUCCAGUCUCUCUCCAGUCUCUCUCCAGUCUCUCUCCAGUCUCUCUCCAGACUCUCUCCAGUCUCUCUCCAGUCUCUCUCCAGUCUCUCUCCAGCUGCUGUCUCUCUCCAGUCUCUCUCCAGUCUCUCUCCAGUCUCUCUCCAGUCUCUCUCCAGCUGCUGUCUCUCUCCAGUCUCUCUCCAGUCUCUCUCCAGUCUCUCUCCAGUCUCUCUCCAGUCUCUCUCCAGACUCUCUCCAGUCUCUCUCCAGUCUCUCUCCAGUCUCUCUCCAGCUGCUGUCUCUCUCCAGUCUCUCUCCAGUCUCUCUCCAGUCUCUCUCCAGUCUCUCUCCAGUCUCUCUCCAGCUGCUGUCUCUCUCCAGUCUCUCUCCAGUCUCUCUCCAGUCUCUCUCCAGUCUUUCUCCAGUCUCUCUCCAGCUGCUGUCUCUCUCCAGUCUCUCUCCAGUCUCUCUCCAGUCUCUCUCCAGUCUCUCUCCAGUCUCUCUCCAGCUGCUGUCUCUCUCCAGUCUCUCUCCAGUCUCUCUCCAGUCUCUCUCCAGUCUCUCUCCAGUCUUUCUCCAGCUGCUGUCUCUCUCCAGUCUCUCUCCAGUCUUUCUCCAGCUGCUGUCUCUCUCCAGUCUCUCUCCAGCUGCUGUCUCUCUCCAGUCUCUCUCCAGACUCUCUCCAGUCUCUCUCCAGUCUCUCUCCAGUCUCUCUCCAGUCUCUCUCCAGCUGCUGUCUCUCUCCAGUCUCUCUCCAGACUCUCUCCAGUCUCUCUCCAGUCUCUCUCCAGUCUCUCUCCAGUCUCUCUCCAGUUGCUGUCUCUCUCCAAUCUCUCUCCAGAUUCUCUCCAGUCUCUCUCCAGUCUCUCUCCAGUCUCUCUCCAGUCUCUCUCCAGCUGCUGUCUCUCUCCAGUCUCUCUCCAGACUCUCUCCAGUCUCUCUCCAGUCUCUCUCCAGUCUCUCUCCAGCUGCUGUCUCUCUCCAGUCUCUCUCCAGACUCUCUCCAGUCUCUCUCCAGUCUCUCUCCAGUCUCUCUCCAGCUGCUGUCUCUCUCCAGUCUCUCUCCAGUCUCUCUCCAGUCUCUCUCCAGCUGCUGUCUCUCUCCAGUCUCUCUCCAGUCUCUCUCCAGUCUCUCUCCAGUCUCUCUCCAGUCUCUCUCCAGUCUUUCUCCAGCUGCUGUCUCUCUCCAGUCUCUCUCCAGUCUUUCUCCAGCUGCUGUCUCUCUCCAGUCUCUCUCCAGCUGCUGUCUCUCUCCAGUCUCUCUCCAGACUCUCUCCAGUCUCUCUCCAGUCUCUCUCCAGUCUCUCUCCAGUCUCUCUCCAGCUGCUGUCUCUCUCCAGUCUCUCUCCAGACUCUCUCCAGUCUCUCUCCAGUCUCUCUCCAGUCUCUCUCCAGUUGCUGUCUCUCUCCAGUCUCUCUCCAGACUCUCUCCAGUCUCUCUCCAGUCUCUCUCCAGUCUCUCUCCAGCUGCUGUCUCUCUCCAGUCUCUCUCCAGACUCUCUCCAGUCUCUCUCCAGUCUCUCUCCAGUCUCUCUCCAGCUGCUGUCUCUCUCCAGUCUCUCUCCAGACUCUCUCCAGUCUCUCUCCAGUCUCUCUCCAGUCUCUCUCCAGUCUCUCUCCAGCUGCUGUCUCUCUCCAGUCUCUCUCCAGUCUCUCUCCAGUCUCUCUCCAGACUCUCUCCAGUCUCUCUCCAGUCUCUCUCCAGUCUCUCUCCAGUCUCUCUCCAUUCUCUCUCCACUCUCUCCUCAGUCUCUCUCCAGUCUCUCUCCAGUCUCUCUCCAGUCUCUCUCCAGUCUCUCUCCAGUCUCUCUUCUCUCUCCAGACUCUCUCCAGUCUCUCUCCAGUCUCUCUCCAGUCUCUCUCCAGACUCUCUCCAGUCUCUCUCCAGUCUCUCUCCAGUGUCUCUCCAGUCUCUCUCCAGUCUCUCUCCAGACUCUCUCCAGUCUCUCUCCAGUCUCUCUUCAGUCUCUCUCCAGUCUCUCUCCAGUCUCUCUCCACUCUCUGGUCCUCUCAUGUCUCCCUGAUGGCAUUUUUUCCUCUGUCUCUCUCCAGUCUCUCUCCAGCUGCUGUCUCUCUCCAGUCUCUCUCCAGUCUCUCUCCAGUCUCUCUCCAGUCUCUCUCCAGUCUCUCUCCAGUCUCUCUCCAGCUGCUGUCUCUCUCCAGUCUCUCUCCAGUCUCUCUCCAGUCUCUCUCCAGUCUCUCUCCAGUCUCUCUCCAGUCUCUCUCCAGCUGCUGUCUCUCUCCAGUCUCUCUCCAGUCUCUCUCCAGUCUCUCUCCAGUCUCUCUCCAGUCUCUCUCCAGCUGCUGUCUCUCUCCAGUCUCUCUCCAGUCUCUCUCCAGUCUCUCUCCAGCUGCUGUCUCUCUCCAGUCUCUCUCCAGUCUCUCUCCAGUCUCUCUCCAGUCUCUCUCCAGCUGCUGUCUCUCUCCAGUCUCUCUCCAGUCUCUCUCCAGUCUCUCUCCAGACUCUCUCCAGUCUCUCUCCAGACUCUCUCCAGUCUCUCUCCAGUCUCUCUCCAGUCUCUCUCCAGACUCUCUCCAGUCUCUCUCCAGUCUCUCUCCAGUGUCUCUCCAGUCUCUCUCCAGUCUCUCUCCAGACUCUCUCCAGUCUCUCUCCAGUCUCUCUUCAGUCUCUCUCCAGUCUCUCUCCAGUCUCUCUCCAGUCUCUCUUCAGUCUCUCUCUAGUCUCUCCAGUCUCUCUCCAGUCUCUCUCCAGUCUCUCUCCAGUCUCUCUCCAGUCUCUCUCCAGCUGCUGUCUCUCUCCAGUCUCUCUCCAGUCUCUCUCCAGUCUCUCUCCAGUCUCUCUCCAGUCUCUCUUCAGUCUCUCUCCAGUCUCUCUCCAGUCUCUCUCCAGUCUCUCUUCAGUCUCUCUCUAGUCUCUCCAGUCUCUCUCCAGUCUCUCUCCAGUCUCUCUUCAGUCUCUCUCCAGUCUCUCUCCAGUCUCUCUCCAGUCUCUCUUCAGUCUCUCUCCAGUCUCUCUCCAGUCUCUCUCCAGUCUCUCUCCAGUCUCUCUCUAGUCUCUCCAGUCUCUCUCCAGUCUCUCUUCAGUCUCUCUCCAGUCUCUCUCUAGUCUCUCCAGUCUCUCUCCAGUCUCUCUCCAGUCUCUCUCCAGUCUCUCCAGUCUCUCUUCAGUCUCUCUCUAGUCUCUCCAGUCUCUCUCCAGUCUCUCUCCAGUCUCUCUUCAGUCUCUCUCCAGUCUCUCUCCAGUCUCUCUCCAGUCUCUCUCCAGUCUCUCUUCAGUCUCUCUCCAGUCUCUCUCCAGUCUCUCUCCAGUCUCUCUCCAGACUCUCUCCAGUCUCUCUCCAGACUCUCUCCAGUCUCUCUCCAGUCUCUCUUCAGUCUCUCUUCAGUCUCUCUCCAGUCUCUCUCUAGUCUCUCCAGUCUCUCUCCAGUCUCUCUCCAGUCUCUCUCCAGUCUCUCUUCAGUCUCUCUCCAGUCUCUCUCCAGUCUCUCUCCAGUCUCUCUCCAGACUCUCUCCAGUCUCUCUCCAGACUCUCUCCAGUCUCUCUCCAGUCUCUCUUCAGUCUCUCUUCAGUCUCUCUCCAGUCUCUCUCUAGUCUCUCCAGUCUCUCUCCAGUCUCUCUCCAGUCUCUCUUCAGUCUCUCUCCAGUAUCUCUCCAGUCUCUCUCCAGUCUCUCUCCAGUCUCUCUCCAGUCUCUCUUCAGUCUCUCUCCAGUCUCUCUCCAGUCUCUCUCCAGUCUCUCUCCAGUCUCUCUUCAGUCUCUCUCCAGUCUCUCUCCAGUCUCUCUCCAGUCUUUCUCCAGUCUCUCUCCAGUCUCUCUCUAGUCUCUCCAGUCUCUCUCCAGUCUCUCUUCAGUCUCUCUCCAGUCUCUCCUCAGUCUCUCUCCAGUCUCUCUUCAGUCUCUCUGUCUUUCUGUCUCUCCUCUCAUUUUAAUAUGGUCUGUCCCGGUCCCAGAGUCUGUGUUCAAUCAUGACAGGUCAGUGGUAGAUGGGGGUGGAGUCAGUAGUUUGAUUGACAGGUCAGUGAUAUAUGGGGCGGGGCCGUAGUAGAUGG